AAGACUAUACUUUCAGGGAUCAUUUCUAUAGUUCAUUACUUUGUGCAGAGAAGGCCAGUUCAUAUUUGAUGAAGGGCAGUUGCAACCUUAAUGAAAAAU
This 99-nucleotide small nucleolar RNA is filed under the name Suricata suricatta (meerkat). RNAcentral describes it as "Small nucleolar RNA U3 (ENSSSUG00005013617.1)". The stretch from base 1 to 41 matches the Rfam family "Small nucleolar RNA U3", at positions 1 to 41 of the family's 219-position model. Lineage: Eukaryota; Metazoa; Chordata; Mammalia; Carnivora; Herpestidae. The record is from Rfam by way of RNAcentral.